This 629-nucleotide ribosomal RNA is filed under the name uncultured bacterium. RNAcentral describes it as "bacterial SSU rRNA". The stretch from base 1 to 528 matches the Rfam family "Bacterial small subunit ribosomal RNA", at positions 338 to 873 of the family's 1533-position model. The record is from RNAcentral.
CCUACGGGAGGCAGCAGUGGGGAAUAUUGCACAAUGGGCGAAAGCCUGAUGCAGCAACGCCGCGUGAGGGACGACGGCCUUCGGGUUGUAAACCUCUUUUAGUAGGGAGGAAGCGAAAGUGACGGUACCUGCAGAAAAAGCACCGGCUAACUACGUGCCAGCAGCCGCGGUAAUACGUAGGGUGCAAGCGUUAUCCGGAAUUAUUGGGCGUAAAGAGCUCGUAGGCGGUUUGUCACGUCUGCUGUGAAAACUGGAGGCUCAACCUCCAGCCUGCAGUGGGUACGGGCAGACUAGAGUGCGGUAGGGGAGAUUGGAAUUCCUGGUGUAGCGGUGGAAUGCGCAGAUAUCAGGAGGAACACCGAUGGCGAAGGCAGAUCUCUGGGCCGUAACUGACGCUGAGGAGCGAAAGCAUGGGGAGCGAACAGGAUUAGAUACCCUGGUAGUCCAUGCGUAACGUUAGGUAACGUAGAGUAGUAGGGCGACUACCACGGCGUUCUGUGUCGCAGCUACGCAUUAACGUUCCCCGUCCGUCGGGAGGUACGGCCGCCGACGGACGUAAAACCGUUAAAACGUUAGUAAGUUAGUACGGCGUGAGACGUGCCGAACGGACGACCGACGAGGGAGGUAGG